GAGGCAGGUGUGUUUUCCAGUGAUGGCCACCUGUAGAUAAAAAUGUCACACCAGUUUCUUACUGCAAUGCAAUUGGCCAUCAGCCCAGGGUGUAUAUAUUUCCUCCUCAUGAACAUGGGUUAAGCUUGUGACUGGUUCAUCCAGGAACAAAUGGUGGAAGGGAUACUGUGGGACUUAUUAGGCUAGGUCACCAAAAGACCCCAGUUUCUACCUGUACUUUCUCAAGGGGAUGCAUGUGUACAAGGAGCUGGGGCCCAGCCACGUGGAAAACAGCAUGGAGGCUAGGAUUGGAGCACCUCAGGACCCAGCUCGCUACUCCUUGGUGUCUGUCCUAAAGAACUAAAGCCAUUUUACAGUAGACACAUGCACACCCAUGUUUAUAGCAGCACAGCUCACGAUAGCAAACUAUGGUAGCAGGCAGGUGUCCAUCAGUGGAUGAAUGGAUAAAGAAAAUGCAUUAGAUAAACACUAUGGAGACUUAUUCAGUCACAAAGAAAAACAAAAUUAGGUCAUUUUCAGGAAAAUGAAUAGAACUUGGGGACAUUAUGUUAAACAAAAUAAGCCAACUCAGAAAGCCAAGUGGCAUGUUUUCUUUCAUAUUUAAAAUCUGGAGAGAAAAAAGGGGGUGUCUCAUGAAAAUAGAGUUGAGGAUCAGUAGAGGAAGGGUUCCAGGAGAGAGGUGGGGAAGGAAAGGGAAGAUACUAGGAAAUGAAAUUAACCAAACUAUAUUUGUGCAUAUAUGAAUAUAUAGCAAUGAAUGUUAUAUAGCAUGUAUAAUUAUAAUGCACUAAUAAAAAUUUAAAAAAG
RNAcentral lists this long non-coding RNA (807 nucleotides) under Marmota monax (woodchuck). Lineage: Eukaryota; Metazoa; Chordata; Mammalia; Rodentia; Sciuridae. The record is from RNAcentral.